Long non-coding RNA from Drosophila willistoni, 778 nucleotides. RefSeq lists it as uncharacterized. The transcript is spliced from 2 exons. The record is from RefSeq and is a predicted model, not a curated record. NCBI's taxonomy places the organism in Eukaryota, Metazoa, Arthropoda, Insecta, Diptera, Drosophilidae.
AUUUCAGUUUUAUUUAUUAUUAAACUAUUGGAAUUUCAGAAGACAUCCGUGCUUUAUUUCAGAGACGGAAUUAUGGUUGGCACGGAAUCCCUAGCACCCAAAGAUGACACCAGACUACAGAAUCUAGUUCAAUAAUCAAGAAAAGAAACUAACAGAGUCACUUCCCACCAUAAGCAGACCCAGAAGUUGUUUAAAUGCUUUCUAUGAGAAGAAAAGUGAAGGAAAAUUCCCUGUUUUGCAUCCGUGAAAUUGCCUGUUUUUAUAGGUUCUCCUCAUACGUUUCAUAAUCUAGGAGAAGAACACCCUAAAGAGAAAGCAGAUUAAAAGGUGUACGAAGUCUGUUCUGAAGUAAAGGACCUCAUUUAUUUUAAAGAAAACCUGAUGGACUUCCAAUGCGCUAUCUCUCUUAUCAGCUUUGUUAUUGUAUGAAUUGAAGCAUCUCUAGUGCAUUGAAAUUGACAAUAGACCAUCCCGAUGAUGUUCAAGAAAAUGUUAAGGAGUGCAUGACGUACGAGCAUUCUGCAAAAAUAACUGCACGGAUGUCCUUCAUUGUCUACGUGAUUGAAAGAAAUGUUGGACCAUUGCACAAGAUAAACCAACUGACAGCCAAUUCCAUUUCAAAUGAAAACUCCACUGGGAAAACUCCUCUCAAGGAGACGGAGAGGAGUGUUAUCGUAGCAACAAGUGUCUAAAUUUAAAAGGCAAAUGGGUAGAUCCGUUUUAAGAUAUUAUAAUCUGAUUUGAUUUGCUAUUAAAAUACUUCUGUAACGUUUAAAAA